This 3859-nucleotide long non-coding RNA is filed under the name Homo sapiens (human). RNAcentral's name for it is "HSALNT0336616". Lineage: Eukaryota; Metazoa; Chordata; Mammalia; Primates; Hominidae. The record is from RNAcentral.
GCCUUUGCAGCCUCCAUACUUAGCGAUGGCCUCCUGGACCCACUUUCUCUCUCAAACUGUCUUUUCUCAUUCCUUUGACUCUGCUGGACUUCGUCAUCCCCACGACCCGGUGUUGAGUCUGAUCACCCAACAUCAUCAGGAUAGAAGCUUCCCUCUCCUCCUCCAGACCUUGUGGUGUGCACGUGGGAGUCCAGGGACUAGAAUACUCAUUUUCAAAGCCUGACAUUGGACCCGGGAGACAGGGAAAAACCAUCCUCAGGAAGUCACAAAUUUUCCAAGAAUUGCUCUGAGAGGUGGAAGACGAUGUCUGGGAAAGAGAAGUCUAAAUUUGACGAAAUGGCGAAGGCAGAUAAGUACACUAUGAUUGGGAGAUAAAGAAUUAAGAACCAGCUAAGGGAGGCAAGAAGAAGAACCCUAACGCCCCCAAAAGGCCACCAUCUGGAUUCUUCCUUUUCUAUUCAGAAUUCUGCCACAAGAUCAAAUCCACAAACCCUGACAUCUCUAUUGGAGACAUGUCAAAAAGCUGGGUGAGAUGUGGAAUAACUUAAAUGACAGUGAAAAGCAGCCUUACAUCACUAAGGUGGCACAGCUGAAGAAGUAUGAGAAGGAUGUUGCUGACUGUAAGUCUAAAGGAAAGUUUGAUGGCCCAAAGGGUUCCACUAAAGUUGCCUGGAAAAAGGUGGAAGAGGACAACAAAGAAAAUGAGGAGGAUGGAAAAUAAGGAGGAGGGAGAGGAGUAAAAAAUUUAAAAAACUGUUUGUCUCCUUGUGAAUACCUUAGAGCAACAGUCUCCAACCUUUUUGGAACCAGGGACCAGUUUUGUGGGACAGUUUUUCCAUGGAUGGGUUGGGAGAUGGUCUUUGGGAUGAUUCACGCACAGUACAUUUAUUGUGCACUUUAUUUCUAUUAUUAUUACAUUGUAAUAUAUAAUGAAAUAAUUAUAUGACUCACCAUAACGUAGAAUCAGUGGGAGCCCAGAGCUUGUUUUCCUUCAACUAGACAGUCUUUCUGGGGGUGAUGGGAGGCAGUGACAGAUCAUCAGGCAUUAGUUAGAUUCUCAUAAGAAGCAGGUAAACUAGAUCCCUCGUAUGCACAGUUUACAACAGGGUUUGCUCUCCUAUGAGAGCUGCUGCUGAUCUGACAGGAGGCGGAGCUCAGAUGGUAAUGUGAGCCAUGGGGAGUGGUUGUAAAUACAGAUGAAGCUUUGCUCACUUGCCACUCACCUCCUGCUGUGUGGCCUGGUUCCUAACAGGCCACUGACUGGUAUCUAUCUAUGGCCCAGGGGUUGGGGACACCUGCCUUGAAGUAGGGGAGAGCUGUAAUUGACACAUCUCUUAUUUGAGAAGUAUCUGUUGCCCUCAUUAGUUUUAAUUACAAAGUUUGAUUAUGAUCAUAUUGUUGUUUCUCAAACUAGAAACUCUUUACAUGAAGUGGUCAAGUGGGUCUAGAGCACCCUGAAACUAUAUCAAAGUUGUACAUAUUUCCAAAUAUUUUUAAAAUGAAAAGGCAACUUCAUGCUCUCCUCACUCUGUGUGCUUUGCUGUUAGUGUGAUAAGGCAUUUAAAGGUGCUUCUGGCAUUUUUUUUUUUUUAAUUUGUAAGGUAGUGUUAACUACAUGGUUAUUAGCUAGAAAUCCUGAGUUAUCAAUUGCAUAUAUCCAUAGUUUGUAAAACGAACAAAACAACCAAGACAAACUCUUGAUGCUCUUUGCUUGAUGUUGAGGCUGUGGUAGAAGAUGCCUCUGGGAGUGGCCGUAGCUCAGGCUGUGCACUGUGAGGCUGGGCCUGUUGACUAUGCACUGGGCAUCCAUUUAGCUUCAGGUUGUCUUGUUUCUGUAUCUAACCACAUAGCAUUCUGCUACCAUUCCUAGCUGUGAACAAAAGGUGGUCAGCUGGCUUGAAAAGUAUUUACUUUUUGUUUUUGCUUUUUUUUCAGUUAAGUGUGGUAGUUUUUAAACCAUUUGUUUUUAAAGAAAGUGUAGAACAUUUCAUUGUCAACAAAGCGAAGAGCCACUGCAUCAAUGAAAGUUCAAGAACCUUCUGUACUUAAACAUGAUCUCCAACACUCUGUUUUUUUGUAUGUUUAGAAUGCUGAAAUAUUUUUAAAAUUAAAUAAACAGCAUUACAUUUUAAUAAUACAUUACUAAAACUAUUUUCAACAUUUCUCUUACCUUUUUUUAAAUGUGGAUACUAGAAAAUUUUAAAUUACACAUGUGGCUUAUAUUUAAGAAACUGGCAUUAAGUUUCUACUGGACAGCACUGCUACAGAGCAAACAGAACUGGGACUGCUGUUGUUAGGCCCUCAGGUCUUAUUUGGGAUUUUUGCGGAGGGAGGAUUCCUUGUUUUACGAAUGGAGAGAACACAGCCCCAUCCUUUUGAGUUCUUGACAUUUCAACUGGGGUUUAUGUUUCUUUGUGAAAGCAGGAAAUACCAGUUACAUUCCAUAAUAAAUGAUGGAGAUGUGGACUAACCCAAAAAUGAACACAGAGUGAGCCUUUUGUUGGCUUGUGCAAUGGUUAGAAACUGCAUUGAGUCUUUUGAUCAAACCAAUUCUGUUUUCUUGCCCAUAUGAAAAGGAGAAAAUUAUUUAAACAGAUUUCAAAAAAGGAAUGUGGAUAUUGACCAUCAAAAUGAGCCUAGGAAUGCACCAUAUCAUUGACAGCUAGUCUGAACUUUUAUCUAGGGAUAUGUCCUCUUUUAUUUAGGUCUAAACUUCUAUGCAGAAUACUUUUCUCUGAAAUUGAAGAUUAAUCUUCUGAAGCCUAUGAAUUCUAACAUAGCAUUAAAUUACAUAUUUCUUCAAGAGUGUCUUCAUUCAUCAUUUACAUAUAUUUUGAGAGUCUGAGUAACAUGACAGUAGAUUCUAAGAUGGAGUUUACAUUAUACAGUCCCAUACUUCAAGGGCCUUAGCAUUUUCAUUUGUUUAUUCAACAGAUAUUUAUUGAGCACUUACUAUGUGCCAGGCAGUCUACCAGGCAUUAGGGGUGCAAUAGGAAUCAAAAAUAGAAUAAGAUCACUGAUCUACAAAUUACAGCCUACUGUGGGAGGUAGACAUUUAUCAAAUAAUCACAUGUGAGAGAUCUCAGAAGCAGGGAGCAGGGAGAAUUCAAAGCUCAAGUGGAAGGAUGAAUUGUAGACAGGAGGAAGUACGGCUCCUCCGAAUGUAACAGGAGAAGUGAUUCCCCGAAUCCAGUUGGCUGCAAAACAAGUUAAUGUGUUUGAUAUAAAGUGUGUGAGAAGAGAGCAAAACUAGCUGGAAUGCUUAGUAUAUUAUUUUAUAACUCAUCAUCUAGGCAUGGCUAGUUACUCAAGGUAAGGUUUAAUUUAAGAUAAUGUCCGGGAUUUAGAAAUAGACUCAUCUGUUAGUAAAUUGCAGCUUUGGGGUGGCAGGACACAUCAAUAACAGUAGAAGGAGAUACUUGGCAGUAGAGACAGGCUUGUCAUCACCAUCUAGGAAAUCUAUAAUGUACAAAGACUGGGCUUCUGUACUGGCAGAAACCCUUCAGCAGGUCUAAGCAGCAAGGCAGGAUAACAUUGCAAAAACUCAAAACAUAGGUCAAGAUAGAAUUCUAGUAUCUUGAAUUGAGCAUACAGAAUGUGAGGACAUGGGGAGUUGGAGGACAGAGAUAAUGACACUCAAGAUAAAAACUCAGGUUUAGGAGUAUUCUUAUCAGAAAUAUUCAGGAAAAAGCCUUUAUUUGGAGAACACUGUGGCAGUCCAGUGGCCAGGACUGGCCAUAACCUGGGGUAGAUUAGCAAGUGUAAUCAGUGCUGCAAUACCAUGGGCAGGAUUAGCCUGUUAGGGAGCAAGGCUUACUCCCAAGUUCCCCAAGGAUGUGGAACUUUAAAUAGGUUUUGA